AAUGAACGCUGGCGGCAUGCUUUACACAUGCAAGUCGAACGGCAGCGCGGGCUUCUUCCUGGCCGCGAGUUGCGAACGGGUGAGUAAUUCACCGGAACGUGCCCAGUCGUUGGGGAUAGCCUGGCUAAAGCCGGAUUAAUACCGCAUCCGACCUGAUGUUGAAAGCGGGGGACCGAAAGGCCUCGCGCUAUUGGAUCGGCCGAUGUCGGAUUAGCUAGUUGGUGGGGUAAAGGCUUACCAAGGCGACGAUCCGUAGCUGGUCUGAGAGGACGACCAGCCACACUGGAACUGAGACACGGCCCAGACUCCUACGGGAGGCAGCAGUAGGGAAUCUUGGGCAAUGGGCGAAAGCCUGAUGCAGCAAUGCCGCGUGCGGGAAGAAGGCCUUCGGGUUGUAAACCGCUUUUGUUAGGGAAGAACAACUCUGUGAUAAUAUACCGGGGGGAUGACGGUACCGGAAGAAUAAGCACCGGCUAACUACGUG
This 484-nucleotide ribosomal RNA is filed under the name uncultured bacterium. RNAcentral describes it as "partial 16S ribosomal RNA". It matches the Rfam family "Bacterial small subunit ribosomal RNA", at positions 29 to 507 of the family's 1533-position model. The record is from RNAcentral.